Magnolia sinica is the source of this 1418-nucleotide long non-coding RNA. RefSeq lists it as uncharacterized. The transcript has 5 exons. Lineage: Eukaryota; Viridiplantae; Streptophyta; Magnoliopsida; Magnoliales; Magnoliaceae. The record is from RefSeq and is a predicted model, not a curated record.
UAGAGAACAUUGACAUUAUGGCUGGUAAUGGGGUGGGCCAGAGCUAGGCAAAAUUGAUAUUUUGAAUAGGCCUGGCCUGUCUAUUUCAAAAUCCAACGCUGAACCAGCCCCAGGCCUGCCCAUUGCCAGGCCUAGUUGAUAUUUAGAGGAAAAGACUCAGUUUUCUCUUCUCUCUUAUGAGUUGGGUGGUUUUGUUUGUUGUUUCACAAAUUAGAAACAAAAGAAUGCAUCUAUGAUCCUCCUUUUUAUCUAUUGGAUCUUAUCUUGAUUCAACUAUUUUAAUUAUGAUUUUCUCUGUGUUAAGUAUUGUAAGGAGACAUUUUAUGAUGUUUCCCUUUUUUGUUGAUCUUUAUCACUGACUAGAGGACAAGACUGCCUUUCUUAUCUGCUUUCUGUUAUACAUAUAUAUGCAUAUUUAUAUUGUUUAUUCUUUAUGAUUUGCAGCUUCGCCAUUUCUGUGAUGCGUGGUCAAAUUUAGCUAGUGCAUAUAUGAGGAAAGGAAGGCUUAAUGAGGCAGCCCGGUGUUGUCACCAGGCUCUUGCAUUGAACCCUCGCUUGGUGAAUCCUUGUUUUGUUUUAUCAUUUAGUUUCCUUCUUUUGUUGUAGAUGCAUUGAAAUUACUAUUUGCAGAUCUUCCCCUUAUUGGCAGGUUGAUGCUCAUAGCAACCUUGGUAAUCUGAUGAAGGCACAAAGGCUUAGCACAAGAAUUUGUCAGAAAAUGCAUAUGUUCUUGUGGUAGAGGUAUUGAAGAAAAUGCAUAUAUUCUGUAGGCAUUAAGCUCCCUUGUUGCUUCACUACUUGAGAAAGAAAAGGAUCUUCAACUUCUCUCUGACUGGUCCAAUUCCUCCUACUUUGGGUAAUUUGAACAUGCUCAAAAUUUUGUAUUUUUUUUAUAAAUCAAAUUUCAGGUACAAUUCCUACAGAAUUAGGGAAUCUCAAGAAUGUGGUUUAGUUGACGUUGCAACGAAACAAUCUGACUGGUCUGAUUCCUCAUGCUUCGAGUAAUUUGAGAAACCUUACAUUGUUGUUGGUCUGAUUCCUCCAGUUAUUCUGCUUUUGAAGAAGUUCUCCCACAUGCUCCAACAUUGAUGACUGAUGUGUUUGGCAAUUAUGUUAUUUAAAAGUUUUUUGAUCAUGGAAGCCCUGAGCAGAGAAAAGAACUAGCAAAUCAGCUUGCUGGCCACAUUCAACCUUGGAGCCUUUAGAUGUAUGGGUGCCGGGUAAUUCAAAAGGGCCCUACACAAUUCAAUCUGGCUAAUCCACGCUUACACAUGUUGCCCUUUUUAAUGGAAGGUAUGUGCUUGAUUUUAUUUUUAUUAUUAUUUUAGUUGUUGUGGGAUGCAAAUAUGCUCUGCUUGAAUUCAUGAUGGGAGCUGAUUACUUGGGUUUUACCAACCAAAGGGUAGGUGUUAAUGCAG